GACGAACGCUGGCGGCGUGCCUAAUACAUGCAAGUCGAACGCUGAAGAGAGGAGCUUGCUCUUCUUGGAUGAGUCGCGCACGGGUGAGUAACGCGUAGGUAACCUGCCUUGUAGUGGGGGAUAACUAUGGGAAACGGUAGCUAAUACCGCAUAACAAUGGAUGACCCAUGUCAUUUAUUUGAAAGGGGCAAAUGCUCCACUACAAGAUGGACCUGCGUUGUAUUAGCUGGUAGGUGAGGUAACGGCUCACCUAGGCGACGAUACCUAGCCGACCUGAUAGGGUGGUCGGCCAGCCUGGGACGGUGACACGGCCCAGACGCCUUCGGGAGGCAGCAGUAGGGAAUCUUCGGCAAUGGGGGCAACCCUGACCGAGCUACGCCGCGGGAGUGAAGAAGGAUGUCGGGUCGUAAAGCUCGGUUGUAAGUCAAGAACGAGUGUGAGAGUGGAAAGUUCACACUGUGACGGUAGCUGAUCAGAAAGGGCCGGCUAACUACGUG
Molecule: ribosomal RNA, 497 nt
Filed under: uncultured bacterium
Lineage: Bacteria
Description: partial 16S ribosomal RNA
Rfam family: Bacterial small subunit ribosomal RNA
Source: RNAcentral